Molecule: ribosomal RNA, 198 nt
Filed under: uncultured bacterium
Lineage: Bacteria
Description: partial 16S ribosomal RNA
Rfam family: Bacterial small subunit ribosomal RNA
Source: RNAcentral
ACGCUCGACACCUACGGGGGCAGCAGUUGGGAAUAUUGGACAAUGGAGGAAACUCUGGUCCAGUGACGCCGCGUGAAGGAAGAAGGUCUUCGGAUUGUAAACUUAUUUUGUCAGGGAAGAAAAAUGACUGUACCUGAAGAAAAAGCACCGGCUAACUACGUGCCGACAGCCGCGGUAAUCUGAGCGGGCUGGCAAGGC